UUCCUCCAUGCACUGAAAAAAGAUAGUUAUGUAUUAAUUUGUCUAAGUUGAGGUAAGAACAUAGUAAAAUAUUAAAAAUGGUAGUUUUCCUUUAAGUCAAAAGUGUAGGCCUAUUUGUCAGCGUUCCACACUCUGUCUCAGUCGUGCAACGUGCAAGUGCAACUGCCUGCCAACGUGCAAGUGUGAAUUUGAAUUUCCUUUCGCGACAGUUAUAAUAACACAAAUCACAUCACACCCAAUAAUUCAAUCGCCUUUGCUUUAUUUCCUACUCCAACAUUUCAAUUAUUGCCCACUAAAAGCUGCACAGAUAUAUUUGCUUACCUGAACUCUGGUGUCUGGUAUGAACUAGUUGAUGCAUGAAAACAGCACCCUGACUGGUUGACUGGCUCAAAGUAUUUUGAGUAUUUUAAAAAUACAAAAAUACUCAUCUUAAAUGUAUUUAAAUACAAAUUACAUUUCAUUUUUUUCAAAGGCUUUAAAAUACAAAAUACAAAAUACUAUUUUGUAUUUGAAAUACGUAUUUUAAAUACAUGUAUUUGAAAUACUGCCCAUCCCUGUAUAUGAUAUGGAAUAAAUAGGAAAGUACAGAUACUGAGAAAGCAAGCAAUGAACAGUUUUGGUGUAAGUUUACUAAGGCAGAUUUGACCAGUGUAUGAUUUGUCAAAAAAAGAGUGCACUACAUCUUUAAGGGUACAAUGUACUGUUUUGUUUAUUUUGUAAAAGGUGACAAUUAACUAGCUUAGGUGAUGUCCAAUUCAUAAUGAUGACAAGGUUUGAGAGAGUCAACAAUUUAAUGUUGUGACUGAGAUAACAGUGUUUCCAUUAUGCAUAUUUAAAAAUGUACAAAUAAAUAGCGAAUUUAUUAUUUAAAUGAGUCUCUUGUGUAAUUAAAUAUAAUUUAAUUAUGAAAUAUAAUUUAUUAUUCUUAUAUCUGCUUCUAUUUUGUUUUUCCUAUUUUAUAAAUAAAAAUAUAUUAAGAGAAGUAGUAAUGCAGACAGACGCUAAACCAAAAUUGUGUGACGACGUCUCUUAGCAACGGUGAUGUCUCCACGGCAACAUCCUCUAGAUCCGUCUGUCGGAAAGCCCUGCCAGCAAAAUACAACAGUCAAAUUGAACAUGCUUAAAGUCUCAAAUAAAUACGUAUAAUAAAAUUAUUAGAGAAACUACAUAUAGCGCUGUUUCUGAAUGACUUUGGAAGCGCGAGACGAUGCAUAAACGCGUGAGGGAUGACAGACACGAGCGCGUGACAGAUCUGCAGUGAAAGUGAUGCUCUGCGACUAAACUCUUGAGUAUUUAUCCUUGCAGUCUGUAUUGUAGAGGACCUGUGUAAUAUCGAGUUGCAUUUAUCGCUGGGAUGGAGCCCGGUGUGCUUAUAUUUUUACUGUACGUCAUGAUAGCGCACGAGCUGGUGUGUGGACUGAUGCAGUAUAGAAGACAAGCAGCAAAGCCACAUAAACGACUAAUGUGGCGCUCCAGUGCUCGUGUUUGUCAUGGAACCUGGAGGGUCAGUAGCCAGCCGGUGCGAAACAGGAGGCAAGGCUUAAAGAAAUGUGGACGUAUUGUAAGGAAAGUGUGACAUGAGGGCCAUGGAGGAGCUGUGUCCACACACUAAAGCGAUGCUGGGCUUCUCACUGCCUUUUAACUGUUCAUAAUUGAAAAGUGAUGUCAAGUGAUGGUCCAGGGUGAUGUUUACAUUUGUCCAACUUAUUGUAAUUCUGUGGACAGCUUCGUUUAAAGAAAUCGUUCACCCAAAAAGACACUUUUAAAAAGUGACUUCCAUUUUAGCCUGUGUUUGGAAAAACGAUGGCAUAAUUAAAAUUUUUGGGCAAACUAAUCCUAUUAGAAUAUCUGUCUGACCAUACAUUUAGGUUAUUGACUUAAAAGCUGCCUUUAUCUUUAAACGACAUAUGGCGACUUAUUGAAUAUGAGUUGUGGUAGCAGGGAUCUCCAGCAGAGGUCUGGAUACUGUGAUCACAGUCUUUCUCUGUUAGCGCUUUGCACCAGAACAUUGAGUUUAAUCCCAGAUUGCUGGAAUGGGAAAUAAUUCAACAUCACUUGAUAAAAAAAAUCUGCUAAAAAGACGAGAGAUUAAUUUUGUAAACUUGAUUUCUAUGUGAUUUGUAUAUGACAUUCUUUUAUACAUUUUUCUCCCUUUGUCUGUGUUUAAAUAAUUGCAAUUACACGCUUUGGUUGUAACAAGAUUAUAUGCAAGCUGGCAUGCUGUUGUCUUGUGCAUUCAGCAGACCAUGUAACCCAGUGUGUUUAAUUUUCAAUAAACAAGCAUUUUAACUUCAA
Molecule: non-coding RNA, 2295 nt
Organism: Misgurnus anguillicaudatus (oriental weatherfish)
Lineage: Eukaryota; Metazoa; Chordata; Actinopteri; Cypriniformes; Cobitidae
Source: RefSeq, a predicted model, not a curated record